UGCGUAGGCGGUCGGGUAAGUCUGACGUGAAAUCUUCAAGCUCAACUUGGAAACUGCGUCGGAUACUAUUCGGCUGGAGGAAUGGAGGGGAGACUGGAAUACUUGGUGUAGCAGUGAAAUGCGUAGAUAUCAAGUGGAACACCAGUGGCGAAGGCGAGUCUCUGGACAUUUCCUGACGCUGAGGCAAAGCCAGGGGAGCGAAACG
Molecule: ribosomal RNA, 205 nt
Filed under: uncultured bacterium
Lineage: Bacteria
Description: partial 16S ribosomal RNA
Rfam family: Bacterial small subunit ribosomal RNA
Source: RNAcentral